CUCUGAAGAGAGAGUCAAAGACCGUGAAACCGCUCAGAGUAUAAGCCAAUGGAGCUUGGAAGGCUUCCGCAGUGUCGGCCAUCUAUAUGGUGUGUCGUGAGGCAUGUAGCGCGGUUCGUUAGGCGGCAGAUUGAGUUUGCCGCUUAGCCGUCGUGCGGGGAUUCGGUUUGGGGGUCUUAGGCUUCGGCCGAAGCGCUCCCUGGCCGUUUCCUUAUGAAUGAGCGUUCAGAGCUACUGUGUCCUAAUGCGGUUACGCCCACCACGGCACGUUGUGAGGUCACCCACAGGCUCAAACUGCCGAUCGCGUAUCCAGGACGAUGGCAACGAUGCGUUGUGCUGCAGCUCUCUCACUGUGUGGGCUCUGUAACGCGUGUCUAGUCCUGGGUCGGGCGGCGACCGAGAUAAACCUGGUACGAUCCUCUUUGCGACGAGCUGCUUUCUGGCCAGACCGACGUCCAGGCGCUUCCACUGUGCCGGAAGCGUCAAUCCCAGGCGGUUUGAACCCAGCUGCAUUCUGCAAGGUCUCUCAGCCGGGCGUUGGUCUGAGUGGUGUCAAGUCCAGCACCAUCGGUCACGUCUCGAAACACGGGCCAAGGAGUAUAGCAUGUGUGCGAGUCUAAGGGUCUCACAAAACCCGAAGGCGAAGUGAAAGCAAGGCUGUGGCGGGGGAGCUACGGCGAACCCGCCAGCCGUGGGGGCACGCGCGGCACACUCCGCGUGUGUUAGUGCGUGUUGCUCGGCUGUUGGCAGAGCUGAUCCUGCUUCUCGGUAAAUCCUGGUGCAGGCGCAAGCUCCGGGCUCACGUACAACACUGGUCACGCCUCGCGUGUGGCUGUGUUGUGAGCACCGUGGAGCAUGCAU
RNAcentral lists this ribosomal RNA (861 nucleotides) under Niphargus cf. tauri 3-PT-2007. Its description in RNAcentral is "partial 28S ribosomal RNA". Lineage: Eukaryota; Metazoa; Arthropoda; Malacostraca; Amphipoda; Niphargidae. The record is from RNAcentral.